UCAUUUUGCAAUUGCACGGCUUUUGGUGGC
This 30-nucleotide non-coding RNA is filed under the name Rattus norvegicus (Norway rat). The record is from RNAcentral. Lineage: Eukaryota; Metazoa; Chordata; Mammalia; Rodentia; Muridae.